Molecule: non-coding RNA, 26 nt
Filed under: Homo sapiens (human)
Lineage: Eukaryota; Metazoa; Chordata; Mammalia; Primates; Hominidae
Source: RNAcentral
GAAGAUCGCGAAGUCCAACAUGGUUC